Molecule: ribosomal RNA, 499 nt
Filed under: Monilinia polystroma
Lineage: Eukaryota; Fungi; Ascomycota; Leotiomycetes; Helotiales; Sclerotiniaceae
Description: eukaryotic LSU rRNA
Rfam family: 5.8S ribosomal RNA (bases 159-312)
Source: RNAcentral
AAGGAUCAUUACAGAGUUCAUGCCCGAAAGGGUAGACCUCCCACCCUUGUGUAUCAUUACUUUGUUGCUUUGGCGAGCUGCCUUCGGGCCUUGUGCGCUCGCCAGAGAAUAAUCAAACUCUUUUUAUCAAUGUCGUCUGAGUACUAUAUAAUAGUUAAAACUUUCAACAACGGAUCUCUUGGUUCUGGCAUCGAUGAAGAACGCAGCGAAAUGCGAUAAGUAAUGUGAAUUGCAGAAUUCAGUGAAUCAUCGAAUCUUUGAACGCACAUUGCGCCCCUUGGUAUUCCGGGGGGCAUGCCUGUUCGAGCGUCAUUUCAACCCUCAAGCACAGCUUGGUAUUGAGUCUAUGUCAGUAGUGGCAGGCUCUAAAAUCAGUGGCGGCGCCGCUGGGUCCUGAACGUAGUAAUAUCUCUCGUUACAGGUUCUCAGUGUGCUUCUGGCAAAACACCAAUUUUCUAUGGUUGACCUCGGAUCAGGUAGGGAUACCCGCUGAACUUAA